Ictalurus punctatus (channel catfish) is the source of this 384-nucleotide long non-coding RNA. Lineage: Eukaryota; Metazoa; Chordata; Actinopteri; Siluriformes; Ictaluridae. The record is from Ensembl.
AGAGAGACCCCAGGAAGGCACGAGAGACACAGAGAGAGAUCAGGAAGGCACAGAGAGACCCAGGAAGGCACAGAGAGACACAGAGACCCAGGAAGGCACAGAGAGACACAGAGACCCAGGAAGGCACAGAGAGACACAGAGAGAUCCAGGAAGGCACAGAGAGACACAUAGAGACCCAGGAAGGCACAGAGAGACACAGAGAGAUCCAGGAAGGCACAGAGAGACACAGAGAGAUCCAGGAAGGCACAGGGAGACACAUAGAGACCCAGGAAGGCAUAGAGAGACACAGAGAGACCCAGGCAGGCUUUAGAGACAGACAGAGAGAUCCAGGAAGGCACAGAGAGACAAUACAGACAGAGGCAGGCACAGACACACACACAGAGA